Nannospalax galili (Upper Galilee mountains blind mole rat) is the source of this 499-nucleotide long non-coding RNA. RefSeq lists it as uncharacterized. The transcript has 3 exons. Lineage: Eukaryota; Metazoa; Chordata; Mammalia; Rodentia; Spalacidae. The record is from RefSeq and is a predicted model, not a curated record.
CACCCCCACCACAACUGGAGAGAAGGGAAAUUUACUCUCUUCAAUGAUUUAUCUAUCUAUGGGUCUGUUAACCUAGUAAUAAGCACUCAAUAACAUAGGUCAAAGCACAUCCAGGCUAUUUCUCUCUUUGACUGUUUUUUGGGGACACCAGUAAGUCCCUGACAGACUACAAUGCUUUUUGCAGGUAUCAUCAACAGGGCUUGUUAAUAGACCCACUUCCCAGUGACGAAAUGGGAGGCCUGGCAGGUGUUUCUGUCCUUUAGGAGUCUGUGAACAGGGCCCGAGGAGCAGGCCCAAGCAGAAGCAAAGGAAACCCAGGCUCUAUAAUUUGGCACAUCUGAUGCCUCCAGUGCCUGUCUCCUCUGGCUCCUCCCAGCCGUCUUUUACCCUGGACCAUCCCUAAGGUGUUCCUUCUUGAGAGGACCCACUCCCCAGCACCUGGCCCUCUUGAACUCCCUAAACAGGGUCUACUGGGCUGGAGAGAUGGCUCAGCGGUUAA